This 468-nucleotide ribosomal RNA is filed under the name uncultured bacterium. RNAcentral's name for it is "partial 16S ribosomal RNA". It matches the Rfam family "Bacterial small subunit ribosomal RNA", at positions 28 to 507 of the family's 1533-position model. The record is from RNAcentral.
GAUGAACGCUGGCGGCGUGCUUAACACAUGCAAGUCGAACGGUGAAGGCGGAGCUUGCUCUGCUGGAUCAGUGGCGAACGGGUGAGUAACACGUGAGCAAUCUGCCCCUGACUCUGGGAUAAGCGCUGGAAACGGCGUCUAAUACUGGAUACGAGCUGCGAAGGCAUCUUCAGCAGCUGGAAAGAACUUCGGUCAGGGAUGAGCUCGCGGCCUAUCAGCUUGUUGGUGAGGUAACGGCUCACCAAGGCGUCGACGGGUAGCCGGCCUGAGAGGGUGACCGGCCACACUGGGACUGAGACACGGCCCAGACUCCUACGGGAGGCAGCAGUGGGGAAUAUUGCACAAUGGGCGAAAGCCUGAUGCAGCAACGCCGCGUGAGGGACGACGGCCUUCGGGUUGUAAACCUCUUUUAGCAGGGAAGAAGCGAAAGUGACGGUAACUGCAGAAAAAGCGCCGGCUAACUACGUG